Molecule: ribosomal RNA, 426 nt
Filed under: Triticum aestivum (bread wheat)
Lineage: Eukaryota; Viridiplantae; Streptophyta; Magnoliopsida; Poales; Poaceae
Description: partial small subunit ribosomal RNA
Source: RNAcentral
AUGGCAAGAAGAGGAGGUUCUGCAGCAGCUGUGUGCAGAGAUGCGGAUGGAAACUAUAUGGGCAGUUCGGCUCUAGUGAUCGACAGAGUGGAAGACCCGGCCACACUUGAAGCUAUAGCUUGCCGGGAGGCAUUAUCCUUUGCGGAAGACAUGGGCAUUCAGAAUUUUGUUAUCGCAUCAGAUUGUCAACAAGUCGUUUCAGAUAUCAACAGGAGGUCACACGGGACGUAUGGAGCGAUUAUCGCGGAAGUAAACCUUAGAGCUUCUUUCUUUCAAUGUAUUUUUUCUUUUGAGAGUCGUGCUGUGAAUUAUGAAGCACAUAGUUUAGCCAAGUUCUCCCUCUCGAGAGGUUCAGGAUGCCACGUCUGGUUUGGCGCUCCUUAUGACCAGAGAUAUAUCCCACUUCAUGUGGAAUUUACUGAAUAA